Molecule: non-coding RNA, 106 nt
Filed under: Sporolactobacillus laevolacticus
Lineage: Bacteria; Bacillati; Bacillota; Bacilli; Caryophanales; Sporolactobacillaceae
Also listed under: 1 other name
Description: SAM-I sequence
Rfam family: SAM riboswitch aptamer (S box leader)
About the family: The SAM riboswitch is found upstream of a number of genes which code for proteins involved in methionine or cysteine biosynthesis in Gram-positive bacteria. The SAM riboswitch acts at the level of transcription termination control.
Source: RNAcentral
UUCUUAUCAAGAGAGGCGGAGGGACCGGCCCUGUGAAGCCCGACAACCAGCAUAAACGCAUGGUGUUAAUUCCGGCAGAUUCGUGUUUGGGUCUGAGAGAUAAGAG